This 253-nucleotide ribosomal RNA is filed under the name uncultured bacterium. Its description in RNAcentral is "partial 16S ribosomal RNA". It matches the Rfam family "Bacterial small subunit ribosomal RNA", at positions 524 to 776 of the family's 1533-position model. The record is from RNAcentral.
UACAGAGGGGGCAAGCGUUGUUCGGAAUUACUGGGCGUAAAGGGCGCGUAGGCGGCCCGUCAAGUCCCGUGUGAAAGCCCCCGGCUCAACCGGGGAACUGCACGGGAAACUAGCAGGCUUGAGUUCGGGAGAGGGAAGCGGAAUUUCGGGUGUAGCGGUGAAAUGCGCAGAUAUCCGAAGGAACACCGGUGGCGAAGGCGGCUUCCUGGACCGACACUGACGCUGAGGCGCGAAAGCGUGGGGAGCGAACAGG